AAUUUAAUUAAUCAUAACACGUAAUUUAACAUAAUGAUAGGAGUAAAAUACUCCUAUUUACUCGAGUGGAUUCAUGCGUUUUUAAUGUAAUUUGUCUUGCAUUUUAAGGUGUUUAUACGCCUUAUUGUGUGCUUGAGCUUUUCAGGACAUUGGAGCGUUUUGGAGCACAUUUGGCCUAGGAAAGUGAAGAAAUCGACAAAGAAUUGUUGCGGCAAAGUCUUGAAGAUAGGAAGCGAUGGAGAUGCCAAAUUUCAGCAUGUCACGAUCGUUUUGGCUUUCUAGUUUGUGCAUGUGAUCUGUUUCUCAGAUUGAAAGUCCUUCACAAAUGUAGGGAGUCCAUAUCCCUCAGGGUUAGUCUCUAUUCCUCUUAUAUCCUCCAUAUCUUUGUCAGAUACUAUUUGUGGCUAUUAGUCUCCAGCCGCUGCACCAUAAUAAAAAUCAUUUAGAAUUUCUACCUGAUGUUCCGGGGAUUGAUUAUUGCUUCUGGCCAAUCCAACAUAUAUCUUUUGAAGAUGAGGGCUAAGCUGGUUCAGAAUCCCCAUUGGGAACCUGCUCGCAAGAGAGUUCAGGUAGCCUCUCUUACUUGCCACAUGAGAUGGGGUAGAGUUGUUUCUUGGCACUAAGGGCCGUUGAAUCGAAAAGUUCUCAUUAUUGUGGGCUAUAGUGUUGCUCAGUUCUGCAAAACUGGAUUGAAAGAAGUUGGUCACCAUUUGGUCUUGUUGAAAUGUGUAUUCAGGCAGAGUUUGUGUGAACUUUGUGUUUAUAAAGGAAUCUGCAAAUCCAAAGUUCUGUUGGGAUAGUUUGCCAGCUGGUUAUUGAGAUCCGGGUAGUUGACAUUCACAUCUGGGAUUUGUCUUGCGAUUGACUCAGUAAAGUUUCCUUUGUCUGCAUUCUGGGCUGCCAAUUUUUGAGCUUUCACUAUAGGCAUGUCACGAGCCCUCGGCAGAGGAGAGCAUCUCAUGAACAGACCAUAUCUAUUCUUUCCCACAAACUCAAUCGCGCCUCUUCUUCUGCAUUCUUCUUCUCACAAAAGUUCAUGUUAUGACCAAUCAAACCAUAAGAUAAACUGAUGAUAGCUGGACAUGGAGUUUGGAGCAGAGGAUUAUUUUCGGUGAAGAGUACUUAUUGGGCUUUGACAAGGGAGGUUUCUCAGAGGUCAAACUUUGAAUGGGGAAAUAUCUGGAAAUUAAAUGUCCCUCUUAAGGAUCGAGUCAGUAUUUCAUAUUUUUAGGGAUUGUGAUUUUGCGAGAGGUUGCUAGAAGGAAAUGGGUUUAAAUGUGAUGAAUGGUUUGGCUUCAAAUAUGCAAGAACGGUUUAGUGGUUGGUUGAGGAUUCAAACUUUGGAGGAGUCUUGCUUGGUUGCUUCUAUUUGUCGGAACAUUUGGUAUAAGAUCAUUGGUUUGGCAUUAAAUGAGCUCUUCAGUUCAAGAGUAGGUUAAUAUUGGAGGUCAACAUAUAUGUUCAUGGAAAUGUUCAAGUAUACCAGAUUUGUAAGUUGAACAUGAUGAAGAUACGGCUAGGUGGAAAGGUCCUGCAACAGGUUGGAUUAAAGUUAACAUGGAUGCAACUGUUUUCUCGCAUAGUUCGGGUGUUGGUACUGCUUGUGUAGUGCGAGAUGCAAGUUGAAAGUUUCUGUGAGCUUGGGUUAGAAAUUUGUCGGGUUUAAUCUCGCCUCAUAAUGCAAAAAUCAUUGUACGUAAUCCGAGAAGCCUUAUGUUGGCAAAAUGUAAUUCAAAUGUCAUUAUUGAAGCGGAUUGUUUGGAGGUUGUUAGCAA
This is a long non-coding RNA of Mercurialis annua (annual mercury), 1775 nucleotides long. RefSeq lists it as uncharacterized. The transcript is spliced from 2 exons. NCBI's taxonomy places the organism in Eukaryota, Viridiplantae, Streptophyta, Magnoliopsida, Malpighiales, Euphorbiaceae. The record is from RefSeq and is a predicted model, not a curated record.